RNAcentral lists this non-coding RNA (26 nucleotides) under Mus musculus (house mouse). Lineage: Eukaryota; Metazoa; Chordata; Mammalia; Rodentia; Muridae. The record is from RNAcentral.
UACGCUUUCCACUCGGCCCACGUGGG